UACGUAGGGGGCAAGCGUUGUCCGGAAUCAUUGGGCGUAAAGCGCGUGUAGGCGGCCCGGUAAGUCCGCUGUGAAAGUCGGGGGCUCAACCCUCGAAUGCCGGUGGAUACUGUCGGGCUAGAGUGCGGAAGAGGCGAGUGGAAUUCCUGGUGGAGCGGUGAAAUGCGUUGAUAUCCUAAGGAACACCGGUGGCGAAAGCGGCUCACUGGGUCUCUUCUGACGCUGAGGCACGAAAGCUAGGGUAGCGAACGGG
RNAcentral lists this ribosomal RNA (253 nucleotides) under uncultured bacterium. RNAcentral's name for it is "partial 16S ribosomal RNA". It matches the Rfam family "Bacterial small subunit ribosomal RNA", at positions 524 to 776 of the family's 1533-position model. The record is from RNAcentral.